CUAACCUACACUGCAUACACUUUCGGAACUCUCUUUUUACUAAAAAGUGAUCUGUGCUGUGAUCUCUUGUUCGAAAAUCUUUUUGCUGGGAAUAAAUAUUUCCAUUUGUGAUUGUCAAGAUUACAUUCUAUCAGUAUACUGUUGCUGUGGUAUUCUCUUUUAAAGGGUUACUGAAAGUUUGUUGGGUAUAUAAUUUACAAGGAAAUAAGUUGUGCCGUAUUACUUCAAAUAUGUCAACUUUAAAAAAAAAAGAAAAAUGUUAGACAUUGUACAUUUCAUCGAUUCUGAUGAUUGUGGGAAAAAAUCUAUUGACUGUGUUCCAUCAGCAUGGAUAUUUUUUGAUAAAGAAAGACGCAAGCUACAGACAAAAUUUAUGCCGCCUCCAUAUAUAAUAUUACAAAAAGAUGCAAUUUAUUGCAUAGUUUGGUCAAAAACAACGGAAUAGCACCGGACAAAUGGCCUAAUUAUGCUAUAAAGAGAGUGGAUAGUGCCGGUUCAUAUUCGGAAGC
Odontomachus brunneus is the source of this 509-nucleotide long non-coding RNA. RefSeq lists it as uncharacterized. Lineage: Eukaryota; Metazoa; Arthropoda; Insecta; Hymenoptera; Formicidae. The transcript is spliced from 3 exons. The record is from RefSeq and is a predicted model, not a curated record.